AAUGAACGCUGGCGGCAGGCCUAAAACAUGCAAGUCGAACGCCUGUAGCAAUACAGGAGUGGCGCACGGGUGCGUAACACGUGGGAAUAUGCCUAUUGGUACGGAACAGCUCCGGGAAACUGGAAUUAAUACCGUAUGGUCCCUUCGGGGUAAAGAUUUAUCGCCAAUAGAUAGCCCGCGGUGGAUUAGCCAGUUGGUAGGGUAAUGGCCUACCAAGGCGACGAUCCAUAGCUGGUCUGAGAGGACGAUCAGCCACACUGGGACUGAGACACGGCCCAGACUCCUACGGGAGGCAGCAGUUAGGAAUAUUGGACAAUGGGCGCAAGCCUGAUCCAGCCAUGCCGCGUGAGUGAUGAAGGCCUUCGGGUUGUAAAACUCUUUAGCCGAUGAAUAUAAUGACUGUAGUCGGAAAAUAAGCCCCGGCUAACUUCGUGCCAGCAGCCGCAGUAA
Molecule: ribosomal RNA, 450 nt
Filed under: uncultured bacterium
Lineage: Bacteria
Description: partial 16S ribosomal RNA
Rfam family: Bacterial small subunit ribosomal RNA
Source: RNAcentral